This 433-nucleotide ribosomal RNA is filed under the name uncultured bacterium. Its description in RNAcentral is "partial 16S ribosomal RNA". It matches the Rfam family "Bacterial small subunit ribosomal RNA", at positions 29 to 507 of the family's 1533-position model. The record is from RNAcentral.
AACGAACGCUGGCGGCAUGCCUAACACAUGCAAGUCGAACGAGACCUUCGGGUCUAGUGGCGCACGGGUGCGUAACGCGUGGGAACCUGCCCUUAGGUUCGGAAUAACUCCCCGAAAGGGGUGCUAAUACCGGAUAAUGUCUUCGGACCAACGAUUUAUCGCCUUUGGAUGGGCCCGCGUUGGAUUAGCUAGUUGGUAGGGUAAUAGCCUACCAAGGCGACGAUCCAUAGCUGGUCUGAGAGGAUGAUCAGCCACACUGGGACUGAGACACGGCCCAGACUCCUACGGGAGGCAGCAGUGGGGAAUAUUGGACAAUGGGCGAAAGCCUGAUCCAGCAAUGCCGCGUGAGUGAUGAAGGCCUUAGGGUUGUAAAGCUCUUUUACCCGGGAUGAUAAUGACAGUACCGGGAGAAUAAGCUCCGGCUAACUACGUG